RNAcentral lists this ribosomal RNA (632 nucleotides) under Crucibulum laeve. RNAcentral's name for it is "eukaryotic LSU rRNA". The stretch from base 245 to 398 matches the Rfam family "5.8S ribosomal RNA". The record is from RNAcentral. Lineage: Eukaryota; Fungi; Basidiomycota; Agaricomycetes; Agaricales; Nidulariaceae.
UUAAUGAAUAAACCUGGUUUGCUGUUGCUGGCUCUUCGGAGUAAUGUGCACGCUUAUCAUCUUUAUAUUUCCACCUGUGCACCUUUUGUAGACUUGGGAUUAUCUCUCGAGGUAACUCGGAUGUGGGUUUGCAGUUGUGAAAACUCUGCUCUCCUUGUAUUAUCCAGUCUAUGUUAAUUAUAUACACCAUUAGUAUGUUUAUAGAAUGUCGUUAUUAGGAUUUCAAAUCCUUUUAAUCAAAUACAACUUUCAGCAACGGAUCUCUUGGCUCUCGCAUCGAUGAAGAACGCAGCGAAAUGCGAUAAGUAAUGUGAAUUGCAGAAUUCAGUGAAUCAUCGAAUCUUUGAACGCACCUUGCGCUCCUUGGUAUUCCGAGGAGCAUGCCUGUUUGAGUGUCAUUAAAUUAUCAACCACUUCUACUUUUAUUAGUUGAAGCUGGCUUGGAUGUGGGGGUUGCCGGCUUUUCUAAUAUAAAAGGUCGGCUCUCCUUAAAUGCAUUAGCAGAACCUUAUGUGAAUCAGCUAUUGGUGUGAUAAUUAUCUACGCCAUUGGUUGUGAAGCAGCUAUAUACGGGGUUCAGCUUCUAACCGUCUGAAAGGACAAUUAUAUGACAAUUUGACCUCAAAUCAGGU